RNAcentral lists this ribosomal RNA (2499 nucleotides) under Triticum aestivum (bread wheat). RNAcentral describes it as "partial small subunit ribosomal RNA". Lineage: Eukaryota; Viridiplantae; Streptophyta; Magnoliopsida; Poales; Poaceae. The record is from RNAcentral.
AUGGACCUUUCUUUAUGUAGACUGAUGGAUUAUGAUAACUCUAGAAGACACAAUCAAAGUACUUCCAAAAAGAGGACUCGUUUCAAUUCUGAUGAUGGAAAGAGGAAACGGCUAAACUACAGGCAGGAUGGCGGACAUAUGUCCUCUCAGCCAAUAGAAACCGUUUACAGGAUAUUGUGCCCAGGAAAAAAGAUCGGCGGUGUCUUGGGGAGAGGUGGUCAUGUUGUUAAGGCCCUUAGAGAGGAGACUAAAGCAAAGAUAAGGGUUGCUGAUUCUAUUCCUGGUGCAGACGAGAGAGUAAUUAUUAUAUUUGAUUACCAAAAUAACUCCGACCAAGCUAUUCAAAAUAUUUCUAAUGUUGAUGGCUCAGAGAACAUGAAGCCCCAUUGUUUUGCUCAAGAUGCGUUGUUGAAGAUACAUGAUAAGAUUGCUGCUGAUGAAGAUUCCAACGAUGGAGUUUCCUAUGAGAAUUCUGAAACUGCUGGUGAUGUGACUGCUCGAAUUUUGGUUCCAGGCAAUCAAGUUGGCUGCCUGCUGGGAAAAGGUGGCUCUAUUAUACAACAAUUGCGAAAUGAUACUGGUGCAGGGAUCCGUGUCUUACCAUCCGAAAACCUUCCUCAGUGUGCACUUAAGAGUGAUGAAUUGGUGCAGAUAUCUGGUGCACCUUCUCUUGUAAGAAAAGCUCUCUACGAGAUAUCUACUCGUCUCCAUCGGCAUCCUCGUAAAGAAAAUCCAUCUCUUGAAGAAAUUAUAGAUGCAAGCACACAAAGGAAGCGCGAGUCCCCACCACCGCUACCACAUGAAAAUCACAUGUUACCACACCUGCAUGUGGAUCAUCCACCACCAAUGCCCUUGCUUGAUCCAUAUAGAAACGGACCAUUGCAAUAUCCUGUUCCUGAACCAGAAGAGUUUUCUAUUAAAAUUCUGUGCCCUUCUGAGCUUAUUGGACCUGUUAUUGGCAGAAGUGGGGCAAAUGUUCGGCAGGUAGAGCAGCAGACUGGUGCUCGCAUUAUGGUUCAGGAGUUGCCCAAAGAUGCUUCUGGAGAAAGGUUGAUUGUUAUUUCAUCCAAGGAGAUUCCGGCUGAUCCAGUAUCCCCAACAAUCGAGGCACUUAUUUUGCUCCAUAGUAAAGUAAGUGAGAGCAAAGUAAGUGAACCUUCAGUAAGUGCACCUUCAGAAAGUGCACCUUCUGAGGAGCACAACUUGGUUACAAGACUUGUUGUACCAUCAAGAAAAGUUGGUUGUAUUAUUGGGGAAGGUGGGAAGGUAAUUACUGAAAUGAGAAGGCGUAUUGGGGCUGAAAUCCGAGUUUAUUCGAAAGCAGAUAAACCAAAGUACUUAUCUUUUCACGAUGAGCUUGUGCAGGUUUCUGGGUCUCCAGAUAUUGCAAGAAAAGCCAUCACAGAGAUUGCUUCGAGGCUUAGAGAUAGAAUCCUCAGAGAUGGAAUUUCCUCUUUUGAUGGUCCUCCUGCUGAUAUAUUUCCUAGCAGGGAAUUCACACUGUACGGAAGACCUGCCAAUCCACCAUAUGGAAGGCUUGCCAAUGAUACCCCUUAUGGAAGGCCUGCCAAUGAUACCCCUUAUGGAAGGCCUGCUAAUGAUUCCCCAUAUCAAAGGCGGCUUGCCAUUGAUCAACCAUAUGGGCUUGCCAGUGAUUCACUAUAUGGAAGACCUGCCAAUGAUCCACUAUAUGGGAGACCAGCCAAUGAUCCACUAUAUGGGAGACCAGCCAAUGAUCCACCUUAUGGAAGACCAGCCAAUGAUGAACCAUAUGGGAGACCUGCCAACGACACACCAUAUGGGAGACCUGCCAACGAUACACCAUAUGGCAGACCAAACAAUAAACCCCAUGAUUCAGUAGAUUACUUCUCUAAAAGAAGAGAGUAUCCUAGUGGAAGUCCAUUUGCUAGCGACGCUCCACCAUCUGCUUCUUAUGAUAGAUAUGCAGCAUCUGCUCGCUUGCCUACUAGAGAAAUGCCCUUGCCUGUUAGUCCUGGUGCUGAUUACAUGUCGCAUCGUUCUUAUCAUGACCAUAUGCCUACUGAUAGCUAUUCUAGUAGAGGCAUUCAGCAAUUAGGCCUCUCAAGAGCUGGGAAUAGUAAUAUGCAACAAUUAGGCGUCACCAGAGCUGGAAAUUCCAAUGCUUAUGAUUACACCGAGGCUGUCGGGCAGAUGCAUGGACGUGAGGAUUAUCAAAGAGUGGCAGAUGUUACAGGGUAUUCAAGUAGCUCUGUUGAACUGAGGAUUCCAAAUAGUUCUCUGGAAUCUAUUGUUGGAGCUGGUGGUGUCAAUCUAGCAGAGAUCCGCCAGAUCUCUGGUGCAAGAAUGAAGUUACUUGAAGCCCAUCCUGGUUCUUUGGAAUCCAUCAUGGAGAUCCAAGGUAUGCCGGACCAAGUGAGAGUGGCGCAGAGCCUUCUGCAAGGCUUCAUUGGUGCCAACAGCCAGAGCGUGCAGCCAUCCCAGUCUUCUCGCGACGUCCAUUACCCAAGGUGGAACUAA